Molecule: long non-coding RNA, 3823 nt
Filed under: Theobroma cacao (cacao)
Lineage: Eukaryota; Viridiplantae; Streptophyta; Magnoliopsida; Malvales; Malvaceae
Description: long non-coding RNA (TCAC_LNC001503)
Source: RNAcentral
UUAGGCUCGGUUCAAAUAUGGGCCUAAAAUUUUAAGCUCAAUCCACCCCAUAUUUGAUAAAAAAAAAUAGGUUGGCCCAAUGGGUCAGGCCCAUUUUGAUAGGUAUAGCUUCGACAAUAACUCCAUCGCACCCCGCUGAGUAGCGUUGAACAUUGCUUGACGCACUGAACUUUGAUAAAAUUGUGCAACAUUAGAAGCAGCUAUCGUCUUAGACAUCAAAAGCAGAAGCUCAUGGGCAUAGAUUGUAACACCUUGUAACCCCAUAUAGUCGUCGACAUAACCGUAUCGAUAAGACGAAGGGACAAAGUGAGAUAUUUUAGGUCUCUACGAGAUAAGUGGAGAAUUUUAAAAUAAAAUAAUAUUUUAUGAAUAAAAUAAUAUUAAAAUAUUAAUAUUUUAUAUGUUAUUGGAAUUAGUCAUGUAAGAGGAUUAUGUGACUAAUCUAAGUGGGGAAGAAGAAAUAAGAAGAAAUUUUGAAGAAAAGCGAUGUUAGUUGUGCCUGCGUGUUUUUAUUAAAUCGAGUUAGUGCGGGUAAGUAAAUAUUUAAAUAUUAUAGUGAUACCGCGUUGAAGUGCAACUUCGAUAUUUUGAUUGUACACGUGUAGAGGAAGAAAGAUAGAUAGAAAUUGAAAUUUAAAACGUGUCGAAAGGGUCAAAUUGUAAGAAAGGAAAGUUUGAGGAUUUAUAUAUAAAUUUUAAUAUUUGAAGAGAAUAAAAUAAAAUAAAUAAUAGAAUAAUAAGAAAAUAAAAAGAAUAGGGAGGUGGCGGAUGGGAACGAAGAAAAGUCAAGUAAGAAGUAAAAUAAGAUAAAGAUGAGAGAAAAAGAUAAGUAAGAAAAUAAAAAAAAAGUUAAAAGGUGAUAAAAUGGGCAACCGCCCAUGUGGAAAUAAGAGAGUCAUAUAUUGUUUUAUUUUUUAAGUUAUGGGAGGUAGGGUCCGACCAAGUGGAAAAUGCAAGAGAGAGAGAGAAAAAAAAGGGAGAGUGAGAGCUUGGUUUUUGUGCCGAUUAAGGGAUAUAGAGAGGGGGCUUUGAGCUACUGGUUUGAGUGAGUGAAAGAGGAUUUUGGUUUAAGUUUUCAAAAGGGGAAAUUCAGUUUCUGAGUCACCAGUUGGGAGAAACAGAGAAGAGAGGAAGCCAUUUAUGGAGAGAAGAAGAAAGGGAACGACAGUUGGAGAAAGGAAGAACGGAAAAGAGAAGGGAGAGCAAUGAGAGCAUAAAGGGUGGAAGAAAGAAAGAAAAAAAAAGUAAAGAGAAAAGACAAAAGAAAAACAUGGAAAGGUGAAUGAUUUUAGCAAUCCAUUAUGUGAGAGAAAAACAAGGAAGAAAAAAAAUGCAAAGGUAAAGGAAGUGAGCGGUGGGGGAAUGACGAACGAAAUAACGAGUAAUUGAAAAGUAGAAAUAGCGACAUAAUAUCUCAUUAUUGUGAGGUGAGUAGGGGUGUCUAUUUUAAAAUUUUCAUAAUUAUACAUCUAUAUUUAUGCAUGGUUUACCUUACACGCAAAAUUUUGGAUAGCAUGAUGUCACGACCCGGUACUCCCCUCGAGCACGUGACAACAGUCACGGUACCCCAAUAGACACUCAUUUUCUAGAAUGCCAAUCGAGACCCCGCAAGGCUUAAUAUCAGUAUCUCAAUUCUCUCGUGAGUAACCGUUGCCGAAAAUCAUGUUUUAGAAGAUUUUAAGCUAUUUCCAACUCAAAACAAAUGAAAUAAUAAUUUUCGUCUCACAGGGAUAUUUUAGUCAUUUUUCCCCAAAAAUUUUGAAAUCGGCUAAAAUGUAAUAUACGAGUACAAAAUAUAUAAUUCAUAAUCAAAAGUGAGUUUUAAAGUCUAAAAUCUUCAUUUAAAACGAAAUUUCAAUUAUUUGGAUAUAAAAAAAUAAAAGAAAUGUUAAGUAAAAUAUUAUAUUUUCUUAUAAAACAAUAUUUAUAGAGUUAUACGUAAAUAAUUUUUGCAGCAUAAAAGCUAAAUAAAUUCAUACAUAUUGUAAUACAGUAAGUCAGAGUAUGUAAUUUAAUUUAUAAUAACAAGAGGGCCCCCGAAUAAACAAAAGUAAAGAAGAUUGUGAACCUACAAUUUGGAAAAUGCAGAUCUAAUGGUAGUCCUCGAUGAGAUCAGUUAUCUACAGUCUAUACUGAACCUGAAAUAGAUGGAAAGGAGGGUGAUGAGAUUAUAAAAUCUCAAUGAGUAAACAGACAUCAUCAUCAACAUCUAAAGUUGAGUACAUGGAGACAAUAAAGUAAAUCAUCAUAAACUGGGUCACAGUAUUAGAACACAUUUCAUUCAAAAUACGUAAAGAUGCUUAUGAAUCUCAUAAAAACUAAGCUUGUGCCAUAAAUCCAUUCUCAGGGACACAUUGGCCGAGGCAUCCUACCAAAAUCGCCAAGGCUGUUAAAAAUUCACAUUUCGCAUAAAUCAUGUUUUUAUUUUAAAAACAUAGUCGUUCCUUGGCGUUGGUUGAGUUCCUCCUCACGUGGUGGUUUGACGUGAAGUGAACCCUAAGCUUUACCCCAGGAGAUACCUUACGCGCCUCUCCGUUUGAGUUAAGAAUAUAAUGGGGUUUACUAUGCCCCUCUAAGAGGCUGGUCCACAGAAAUCCCCAACUGUAGUGAUUAAUUAAUAUAUAAUCCACCAUAUAAUAAAAUUUUGAUGACAUGACAGGGCUAAUGAAAUACUACCCAGCCUACAAGGGUAAAAUGAAACAAUUCAUACAAUCAUAAAACACAGCGCAACCAGUCAUGCCAACACAAUAACAAUAUAACAUAAGUCAUCAAUUUAAACAAUCAAAUUGUCACAAUUAACAGUCUCCGUGUACUCUAUUUUUUUCAAAAUCAUUAUUAGUUUCAAAACAAUUUAUAAUUUAAUUUCAUUGGAACACCUUUAUUCAUAAAACAUGAAAAUUUACCUUUUAAAUCCAUUUUUCCAUAGAAUUCACGAAAUCAUCUAAAAACCACCCUAGAUAAUUAAAAUGACAUUAAGUUUACUCACAAUGUCUAAAAUGCAGACUUUUGAAGUACUCUGUCUACUGGUCCUCGGAUGCAAUUUCCUUGCCUUUAUCAGAGGACUCACCACCUUGACACAAUACAAAAUUGAGAAAUUCACCACAUUGAUACUAAAUUGAAAUUAAACUAAUUUAGGCUACUAAUGCAUGAUAUGGAAUGCAAAAAUGUCCGAAUAGCCGUUUAAAUACGGUAUUUGAUCUAAUUCGCACUAUUCUCGGUCUAAUCGGCUAAAAUCUUCAAUUUAACUCCAAAUCGAUUCUUUUCACUUUCUACACUCCAAUUAUACCUAAAUUACCUCAGUGAAUGUGAAUGAGAUUCAAUUUAUCGGUCCCGGGUCAAUAAUUACACAUGUCUUUAUGUUGAGCAAAAAUUCGUAUUUUCACACUAAAAUUUUCCAUUUAAUUUCUAGCCUCACCAAACAUCAAAUAUCACCAAAAUAUCAUGAAAUAUCAUCAAAUUCAGCCGCAAUAUUCUCCCUAGGAAAUUCGGCCAAUGAUGGUAAUGGGGAAAAAUGAAUUUUUUUCUUGUUGUUUUGUUUCUAAAUAUGCUAAACUAACUUAAAACACUAACAUAACUUAAAAUCAAAUCAAUCUAACUUCAUUCUCUCUCCAUAUCCAUUUGGGCAGCCAUGAAUUCACCAUGAAAACAUGAAAUCUAACCAUGGAAAAUAAGGAGAAAAGCAUGGGAAAGAUAGAUCACAAGUCAAAAUCAAGAAAUUUUACCUUUGAUUGCUUGAUUCCUUGAAAUCCCACACUUUUUCUUUAAUUUUCCCACCUAGGUUUCUUGUUUUUCUUUUCCUCUCUUUGUUCUUGCUAUGGCCAGC